RNAcentral lists this small RNA (148 nucleotides) under Macaca mulatta (Rhesus monkey). RNAcentral describes it as "Metazoan signal recognition particle RNA (ENSMMUG00000060461.1)". Lineage: Eukaryota; Metazoa; Chordata; Mammalia; Primates; Cercopithecidae. The record is from Rfam by way of RNAcentral.
GCUAGGCAUGGGGGUGUAUGCCUGUAAUCCCAGCUACUUGGGAGGCUGAGGCACAAGAAUCACUUGAACCCAGGAGGCCGAGGUUGCAGUGGGCUGAGAUCAUGCCACUGCACUCCAGCCUGGGAAACAGAGUGAGAUCUUGUCUCAA